RNAcentral lists this long non-coding RNA (215 nucleotides) under Vigna radiata. Its description in RNAcentral is "long non-coding RNA (VRAD_LNC012051)". The record is from RNAcentral. Lineage: Eukaryota; Viridiplantae; Streptophyta; Magnoliopsida; Fabales; Fabaceae.
UUUUUAGCGAUUUUAUGCUUAUUUUGCAUUGUUUUGUAGCUAAUUUGAGAAAAAUAAAGAAUGGAGUUGAAGAUGAAGGUCUUAGACUCAAGAAAAGGAAAGAAAGGUUGAAGAUAUGCAGAAAAGUCAAUCAGUCAACCAGAAAAGUCAACCAGUCAACCAGAACGCAGUUGACUAGCGCCGGGCGGUUGACCGUGGCACCGGGCGGUUUCCCU